AAUGGGUCAGCGACUUAUAUUCUGUAGCAAGGUUAACCGUAUAGGGGAGCCGUAGGGAAACCGAGUCUUAACCGGGCGUUAAGUUGCAGGGUAUAGACCCGAAACCCGGUGAUCUAGCCAUGGGCAGGUUGAAGGUUGGGUAACACUAACUGGAGGACCGAACCGACUAAUGUUGAAAAAUUAGCGGAUGACCUGUGGCUGGGGGUGAAAGGCCAAUCAAACCGGGAGAUAGCUGGUUCUCCCCGAAAGCUAUUUAGGUAGCGCCUCGUGAAUUCAUCUCCGGGGGUAGAGCACUGUUUCGGCUAGGGGGCCAUCCCGGCUUACCAACCCGAUGCAAACUGCGAAUACCGGAGAAUGUUAUCACGGGAGACACACGGCGGGUGCUAACGUCCGUCGUGAAGAGGGAAACAACCCAGACCGCCAGCUAAGGUCCCAAAGUCAUGGUUAAGUGGGAAACGAUGUGGGAAGGCCCAGACAGCCAGGAUGUUGGCUUAGAAGCAGCCAUCAUUUAAAGAAAGCGUAAUAGCUCACUGGUCGAGUCGGCCUGCGCGGAAGAUGUAACGGGGCUAAACCAUGCACCGAAGCUGCGGCAGCGACGCUGAUGCGUUGUUGGGUAGGGGAGCGUUCUGUAAGCCUGUGAAGGUGGCCUGUGAGGGUUGCUGGAGGUAUCAGAAGUGCGAAUGCUGACAUAAGUAACGAUAAAGCGGGUGAAAAGCCCGCUCGCCGGAAGACCAAGGGUUCCUGUCCAACGUUAAUCGGGGCAGGGUGAGUCGACCCCUAAGGCGAGGCCGAAAGGCGUAGUCGAUGGGAAACGGGUUAAUAUUCCCGUACUUGGUGUUACUGCGAAGGGGGGACGGAGAAGGCUAUGUUGGCCGGGCGACGGUUGUCCCGGUUUAAGCGUGUAGGUGUGUGUUCCAGGUAAAUCCGGUUCACUUUAACACUGAGGCGUGAUGACGAGGCACUACGGUGCUGAAGCAACAAAUGCCCUGCUUCCAGGAAAAGCCUCUAAGCAUCAGGUAACAUCAAAUCGUACCCCAAACCGACACAGGUGGUCAGGUAGAGAAUACCAAGGCGCUUGAGAGAACUCGGGUGAAGGAACUAGGCAAAAUGGUGCCGUAACUUCGGGAGAAGGCACGCUGACACGUAGGUGAAGUGAUUUACUCAUGGAGCUGAAGUCAGUCGAAGAUACCAGCUGGCUGCAACUGUUUAUUAAAAACACAGCACUGUGCAAACACGAAAGUGGACGUAUACGGUGUGACGCCUGCCCGGUGCCGGAAGGUUAAUUGAUGGGGUCAGCGCAAGCGAAGCUCCUGAUCGAAGCCCCGGUAAACGGCGGCCGUAACUAUAACGGUCCUAAGGUAGCGAAAUUCCUUGUCGGGUAAGUUCCGACCUGCACGAAUGGCGUAAUGAUGGCCAGGCUGUCUCCACCCGAGACUCAGUGAAAUUGAACUCGCUGUGAAGAUGCAGUGUACCCGCGGCAAGACGGAAAGACCCCGUGAACCUUUACUAUAGCUUGACACUGAACAUUGAGCCUUGAUGUGUAGGAUAGGUGGGAGGCUUUGAAGCGUGGACGCCAGUCUGCAUGGAGCCGGCCUUGAAAUACCACCCUUUAAUGUUUGAUGUUCUAACGUGGACCCGUGAUCCGGGUUGCGGACAGUGUCUGGUGGGUAGUUUGACUGGGGCGGUCUCCUCCUAAAGAGUAACGGAGGAGCACGAAGGUUGGCUAAUCCUGGUCGGACAUCAGGAGGUUAGUGCAAUGGCAUAAGCCAGCUUGACUGCGAGCGUGACGGCGCGAGCAGGUGCGAAAGCAGGUCAUAGUGAUCCGGUGGUUCUGAAUGGAAGGGCCAUCGCUCAACGGAUAAAAGGUACUCCGGGGAUAACAGGCUGAUACCGCCCAAGAGUUCAUAUCGACGGCGGUGUUUGGCACCUCGAUGUCGGCUCAUCACAUCCUGGGGCUGAAGUAGGUCCCAAGGGUAUGGCUGUUCGCCAUUUAAAGUGGUACGCGAGCUGGGUUUAGAACGUCGUGAGACAGUUCGGUCCCUAUCUGCCGUGGGCGCUGGAGAACUGAGGGGGGCUGCUCCUAGUACGAGAGGACCGGAGUGGACGCAUCACUGGUGUUCGGGUUGUCAUGCCAAUGGCACUGCCCGGUAGCUAAAUGCGGAAGAGAUAAGUGCUGAAAGCAUCUAAGCACGAAACUUGCCCCGAGAUGAGUUCUCCCUGAGACUUAGAGUCUCCUGAAGGAACGUUGAAGACGACGACGUUGAUAGGCCGGGUGUGUAAGCGCAGCGAUGCGUUGAGCUAACCGGUACUAAUGAACCGUGAGGCUUAACCUUACAACGCCGAAG
RNAcentral lists this ribosomal RNA (2345 nucleotides) under Salmonella enterica. RNAcentral describes it as "partial 23S ribosomal RNA". It matches the Rfam family "Bacterial large subunit ribosomal RNA", at positions 614 to 2925 of the family's 2925-position model. The record is from RNAcentral. RNAcentral also lists the same sequence under 3 other names. Lineage: Bacteria; Pseudomonadati; Pseudomonadota; Gammaproteobacteria; Enterobacterales; Enterobacteriaceae.